GAGAAAGACAGUGGGAUCUCUUUGCCUACUGAAGAUGACCUUGGAGAUCUACCAUCAUUCUAUCAGCAAUCAGCCUUUUCUUCAGGAUGGGGACAGCACAUGUUCAGGAAAUGGAGGUGAUGAUCUGGGAGAGGUUGGUGUCUACCCAGUAGAAGACAUUGUUGUCAUCAGAAGUGCCUUCAGCGCAGGAACCUUUGGUGGGCUGAGGCGUGUCCCGCCCCACCAGCUGACUGUUGCCAUUUGACCCACAGGCUGCCAGAUGGACAGAAGUGCUUCCUGGAAAUCGCUCUCUGUUCCCAUGGAAGCUGAGACCGUUUGUUCCCUGGAAGUGAC
Tympanuchus pallidicinctus (lesser prairie-chicken) is the source of this 333-nucleotide long non-coding RNA. RefSeq lists it as uncharacterized. NCBI's taxonomy places the organism in Eukaryota, Metazoa, Chordata, Aves, Galliformes, Phasianidae. The transcript is spliced from 3 exons. The record is from RefSeq and is a predicted model, not a curated record.